GACGAACGCUGGCGGCGUGCUUAACACAUGCAAGUCGAACGGAAAGGCCCUGCUUUUGUGGGGUGCUCGAGUGGCGAACGGGUGAGUAACACGUGAGUAACCUGCCCUUGACUUUGGGAUAACUUCAGGAAACUGGGGCUAAUACCGGAUAGGAGCUCCUGCUGCAUGGUGGGGGUUGGAAAGUUUCGGCGGUCGGGGAUGGACUCGCGGCUUAUCGGCUUGUUGGUGGGGUAGUGGCUUACCAAGGAUUUGACUGGUAGCCGGCCUGGGCAGGUGAACGGGCACAAUGGGACUGAGGUACGGACCAGAGUGCUAUGGGGGGCAGUGGUGGGGAAUAUUGCACAAAGGGCCGAAGUCUGAUGCAGAGACCUCGCGGUCGGGAAGACGGUCUUUUGGGUAAAAAACGCUUUCGGCUGUUACCCAGCGUGAGUGAAGGUAAAGGGAAAAAAAGCACCGGCUAACUUCGUG
This 468-nucleotide ribosomal RNA is filed under the name uncultured bacterium. RNAcentral's name for it is "partial 16S ribosomal RNA". It matches the Rfam family "Bacterial small subunit ribosomal RNA", at positions 28 to 507 of the family's 1533-position model. The record is from RNAcentral.